This is a long non-coding RNA of Camelus dromedarius (Arabian camel), 2595 nucleotides long. RefSeq lists it as uncharacterized. Lineage: Eukaryota; Metazoa; Chordata; Mammalia; Artiodactyla; Camelidae. The record is from RefSeq and is a predicted model, not a curated record. The transcript is spliced from 4 exons.
UGCUUCCUGACACGUGAGGAGGUGGUUCUGGUGACUCCUGCCUCUUUACGAUCUAGGAGCGGUGGACCCCGACCGAGCUGUGAUUCUGGUCCUGUGGCAUUAAAAGCUAAGUCAGGCCCCAAAGUACACAGGAGGCAAGAGGAGUCCCAGGUCUGAGGUUGUUGGAGACCACGGGGAGGGAGGAGAGCUUUCCGCUAGGGAGGCGAUGGCUCAGCAAAUGUCAUCAGGACAGUCUCGGGGUGAACUUGGAGUGAAGGGAGGUGACCAGGAGCAGUGGCUGGUGGAACGUGACAGGCACUGUCCGGGGAGAGGGAUCUGGGUCACCUCUGUAGAUCCUCACAGCAGCCUCUCCUGCUGGCAUUACGAUCCCAUCUCGCUGGUGAAGAAAUGGCGCUCAGGGAGGGUGAGCUCACCACUCAGCUGCUACCGGGAAGAGCUGAGCUUCCUCCUGGGUCUGGUUGAGACGGUUUGAAAGGACUCUGUGGCCAGCUUCCUCCUGUGUGCCAAGCACGGGGAGCGGGUGGAGGAUGGGAGGAGGGAGGAGAGAGAAGAGAGCUGCGAGCAGUCGGUGUGGCUAAGGGCUUCCCUGCUCGUCUGUCUUCAGGGCGCCUGCUGAUCCCCGCCGUGCAGAGCCUGGGACUUCACGCCGGCCCUGGUGCGGCCCCGCCAGCCCCGCGCCUGCCGGGGUGGGGCGUCUGGUUCCCCGGCGCCCCACGCACGGCCCUCCACGGCUUCCUGCACUCUUUUCAGAACAGUUAAAUGUGAUCCAACUGGGCGUCCCAGAAACAAAGAAUUUAAGAUCAAUUACCCACCUAACAGAUAUCUCAACCCCAUUUUCAGUGGCCAAUUCCUCAUACCAAGUGGGAGGAGACAUUUGCUUUUGUUUGAAAGCAAAAUAUUCAUUAGGUCCUAAAGGAGACCCUCCAGAGACUCUUGGCUGAACAAAGAGGAGGUGCUUUGCAGAGGACUGAUAUUCUCACCCUGACAAAGAAGGAUGUGUGUCCAUGGAGAAGGGUGGUGCGUGGGCCUAAAAAUAUUGCCUGAAUCAAACAAACAACCAAACAUAAAAAUGGACAGUCAAGAAGGAUGAACCCGUUGCUAUUGGAUGAACCCAGUAAAGCUGAUAAGAUACACUCUUGCCUGCCGUCUCCAUGGGCUGCUCCCCGUGCAGUGGAGUGACGUGUAAAUCCUUCCCAGAGGGCCCACCCCACAGCAUCCUGUAAAGUGUGAACAUGGCUUUAAUUCAGCUGAAGUUUACAAAUGAUCUUGCUGUAUACAUUAGCCUGGUUUGCACUGACUGGACACUCAACUGUGCAGAGUUUGUGUUAUAUCUGGAAUGAGGCCCUGACACCAAGAAUUUUUGUCUGUGAAUUUAGUCUUGAAUUUUGGCAAUUUUCUCCAUAGACACUUCACAAGAACAGCCUUUGUGUUACUGCCAAGUACUGAGUGCAUCUUGAAAUGCACUUGAACCUUAUGAGCUACGUGCCUUCUCUCUGCAGAUCUGUGUGUAGAUGACAUAAACAUGCGUGUCUGAGGAGGGUGAGUCAAGGCAGGUGCUCUGUAGUUUGGCUCAGAGUACAGUUCUGGGGAUCACUUAAAAUUUUUUUUCCUGGAUUUUAUUGCAAAGAUUUUUGUCAUUAUGAUUGUUUGGAUUUUAGUUUUGGUUUUGGUUUUGGCGUCUCCACCUGCAUGUCAUCCUUCUGUUAGGACUUGUUCACUCCAUGAAAGCACGGCUGGCGUGUGUAAGCUGGAGCCCAGGGAGUCCCACCAUGACCUGACCUGGGGUGGGUCGCCCAGCCCUCCAGGGCUCCAGUGUUCCCAGUCAUAUUCUUUUCAUCCACAAGUCCAGCCAAGGAUGACCAAGGAUGUGCUAUGAAUCAGGGCUGCUCUAGGAACAGGGGGUAUAAAGAUAAAAGUGUCAUCUUUUUCAAGCCUCUUGGUUCAGGGGCAGAGAUAGUUUGGCAUCACACCAUCUUCACCCUAAUGCAGGAAGACCCCGAGGACACAGGUGAGGUGACAGCCCAAGUGGACAGGACCCCUUCAAGCCAGUUCUGAGAGCCUCCUCCAGAGAAGGCAGGGUGACCGAAAUUGUUUUCAGAGUAGGUGGGAGCUCUAGCCCCCUGUUCAGGAUUUCUUCAGCAAAGAAUUUGUUUGCUCACUGACUGGCUUCUCUUCCCUUCAGUGGGUGCAGAAGACCCCCGCCUCCCCCCGGAAGUCACGGGCAUCUGGAGUCAGGAAAGACGGACUCCCAGUGCGCGAAGGAGCCCCAGUCACUGCCACCAUCAGGACAGUGGAUUUAUUCCUCCCUCUGCCUUGUUAAACAUAUCCCGGUGAAAGGAGAUCAGCUUUAAACCUUUACGCUUUAUUACAUCACUCCCUCUGCAAAAGCGUCUGAGGUGACCUACCCCCAAACACUCACUCACACACACACACACACCACACUCACACACACACAUACACACAACACACUCAGACACACAUACACACAACACACUCACACACACACAGACACACAACACACUCACACACACAACACACUCACACACACACAUACACACAACACACACACACAUACACACAACACACUCACACACA